GUACCUGUAGCUCAGCUGGAUAGAGCGUCUGACUACGGAUCAGAAGGCCAGGGGUUCGAAUCCCUUCAGGUACACCA
RNAcentral lists this transfer RNA (77 nucleotides) under Deinococcus xinjiangensis. RNAcentral describes it as "tRNA-Arg". It matches the Rfam family "tRNA". Rfam says of the family: Transfer RNA (tRNA) molecules are approximately 80 nucleotides in length. Their secondary structure includes four short double-helical elements and three loops (D, anti-codon, and T loops). Further hydrogen bonds mediate the characteristic L-shaped molecular structure. tRNAs have two regions of fundamental functional importance: the anti-codon, which is responsible for specific mRNA codon recognition, and the 3' end, to which the tRNAs corresponding amino acid is attached (by aminoacyl-tRNA synthetases). tRNAs cope with the degeneracy of the genetic code in two manners: having more than one tRNA (with a specific anti-codon) for a particular amino acid; and 'wobble' base-pairing, i.e. permitting non-standard base-pairing at the 3rd anti-codon position. RNAcentral also lists the same sequence under 4 other names. The record is from RNAcentral. Lineage: Bacteria; Thermotogati; Deinococcota; Deinococci; Deinococcales; Deinococcaceae.